GAUGAACGCUGGCGGCGUGCCUAAUACAUGCAAGUCGAGCGAACAGACGAGGAGCUUGCUCCUCUGACGUUAGCGGCGGACGGGUGAGUAACACGUGGAUAACCUACCUAUAAGACUGGGAUAACUUCGGGAAACCGGAGCUAAUACCGGAUAAUAUAUUGAACCGCAUGGUUCAAUAGUGAAAGACGGUUUUGCUGUCUCUUAUAGAUGGAUCCGCGCCGCAUUAGCUAGUUGGUAAGGUAACGGCUUACCAAGGCAACGAUGCGUAGCCGACCUGAGAGGGUGAUCGGCCACACUGGAACUGAGACACGGUCCAGACUCCUACGGGAGGCAGCAGUAGGGAAUCUUCCGCAAUGGGCGAAAGCCUGACGGAGCAACGCCGCGUGAGUGAUGAAGGCCUUCGGAUCGUAAAACUCUGUUAUUAGGGAAGAACAAAUGUGUAAGUAACUAUGCACGUCUUGACGGUACCUAAUCAGAAAGCCACGGCUAACUACGUG
This 497-nucleotide ribosomal RNA is filed under the name uncultured bacterium. RNAcentral describes it as "partial 16S ribosomal RNA". It matches the Rfam family "Bacterial small subunit ribosomal RNA", at positions 28 to 507 of the family's 1533-position model. The record is from RNAcentral.